AUGGGCUGGCUCCGUGAGGGAGACCGGGAUACAGAUUUCUUCCAUGCUCGUGCUACAGCUCAGAAAUGUACUAACAAAGUUCACUGUUUUGUCCGGGAUGAUGGUUCUCUUUGUGAUUCACAAAUGGAGAUUAAAAGUAUGAUGCAUAAAUCUUAUGAGAACCUUUUCACUUCCGAUCCUUGUGAUGAUGCUAACGUUGUUUUUUAUGCUAUUUCGCAUAAAUUUACUAAUGAGAUGAUUGUUGAUUUAUGUAAACCCUACAGUAAUGAAGAGAUCAAGACAACUCUUUUUCACAUGGGGCCUACAAAGGCUCAUGGUCCGGAUGGCCUUCCCGCCCUAUUCUACCACUCAUUGGAAUUUUUUUGGGCGACGGCGGUCAGAAGUUUAUUGGAGGGAAGGUGGAAGGAGAUAAUGAUGAACUCACCUGAUGGCUUGUUGUCUUUGCUGCCAGCGCUGAUGCUGGCGGACGAGGUGACAGCGGCGAUGCCCGCAAAGCGACGUGCAAAGUUGAGUUGCUAA
Molecule: ribosomal RNA, 519 nt
Filed under: Triticum aestivum (bread wheat)
Lineage: Eukaryota; Viridiplantae; Streptophyta; Magnoliopsida; Poales; Poaceae
Description: partial small subunit ribosomal RNA
Source: RNAcentral